RNAcentral lists this long non-coding RNA (2047 nucleotides) under Malus domestica (apple). Its description in RNAcentral is "long non-coding RNA (MDOM_LNC018206)". Lineage: Eukaryota; Viridiplantae; Streptophyta; Magnoliopsida; Rosales; Rosaceae. The record is from RNAcentral.
CCAAACGGUCUGAUGAGUUGGCUGUUAAGGAUUCUCUGGCUCUCAGUGUUCAGUGUGCAGGUUAUGUGUCUAAUAUGGCCCAACGCCUAUUUGCUCGAACCCGCCAAGUUGAAUCAUUGGCGGCUGAAGUGAUAAGUCUCAAACAGAAUAUCAGAGGGCUCAAGCAUGAGAAUAAACAGUUACACAGACUCACACAUGACUAUGCUACAAACAUGAAGAGGAAGCUCGACCAGCUGCAGGAAUCUGAUGGUCAGAUUUUACUUGAUCAUCAGAGAUUUGUGGGUUUGUUCUAAAGGCAUUUAUUGCCUUCAUCUUCUGGGGCUGUACUGCGUAAUGAAGCUCCAAAUGAUCAACCUUCGGUGCCUCCUCCUUCUGGGGUUCUACCUAGUACUGAGGUUCCGAAUAAUCACCCUCUGGUGCCUCCUCUUUCUGGGGCUCUACCGAUUGCUGAGACUUCUUCUGAGCAACCUUUGUGAAGGCUCCCUCUUGUUUGUUUAUUUUGAUUCAUGUAUAUGUACAUAUUUGUAACUUAUCGGAGAUAUCAAUAAACAAGCCUUGCUUCAUUUCAACGUAUUGUGUUAAAUACACCAAGGCCUUCUUCACUAAGUUCUUUGAAUUUUUCCUUUUGUUGAAGCAUGUAUGUUGAAACUUUGUGAGUGAAGCAUGUAGGUUGAGGUAGUGCUCCCUUAAUUUCCCGAGUGAGGAAAACUUCUCGUUUGGAGACUUGAAAAAUCCAAGUCACUGAGUGGUCGUGAGACUUCCGAGUAUCGAGGUGCAGUAACAUAUGGUAGGAGUCCCCCAAGUCUCCGGUCGAGGGAGUUGAUGAAUGAGGCACUUCCUUUCUAAGUGAUAGCCCAAAACUCCUUCUUCAUAUAUAUUUGUUAUGAAAGUUGUUAGGACCAAAGAAGAUGAGGCCUAGGCAAUUAUUAAUUUUUUUUUUUUUAAUUUUCGAAUUUUCAAAUUUCUAAAUUUUUUAAUUUUUGAAUUUUCAAAUUUCCGAAAAAAUAAAUUAAAUAUAUAUAUAUUAAAGCUUUGUAGGUGAAGCUUUGGUGUUGAAGCUUUGUAGGUGAAGCUUUGAGAUUGAAGCUUUGUUGGGCACCAUGAAUUGAUUUUGCUUCACACUAUCUUGAUCAAGAUAGUGUGAAGCUUUUGUGUUCAAGUUUUGUAGGUGAAGCUUUUGUGGGUGAAGCUUUUGUGGGUAAAGCUUUUGUAGGUCAAACUUUGUUGGGCACCAUGAAUUGAUUUUGCUUCACACUAUCUUGAGCUUUUGUAGGUGAAGCUUUUGUGUGGAAGUUUUGUAGGUCAAGCUUUUGUGGGUCAAGCUUUUGUAGGUGAAGCAUUUGUGGGUCAAGCUUGUUGGAAAUGUGCCCUAAAACCAAUCAUAUGAUGAUACUUUACGAACAUUUCACAUGUUAAACUAAUCUAGUUUAAUAUCAAGGGCAAAGAUUAUUGUUUGAGCCGUCUCAUAUAAAUGUUAUAGGCUUAAACGAUAAGUCCAAGGAAUAUGUGAUUGGGAGAAUGCGAUCUAAAGAAGUUAGAUUUAUGAGACCAUUCUUUCGUAGACACAUCCUAAGAAGUUUGAUCAUAGGAUUGCCAAUUGGGCAUUGACAGUCCGUUAAGAUCAGUACGUGUUAUGUCUUCUCUCAUGGAGAGUGACUAGUCUCGAGUCAUUGGUGUGUGUGACAUCAAGAAAAGUACGUAGGUGCUCAAUAGAGAAUGAGUUCACUGAACACGAUCAACGAAGAGUUCUCAUACGCAUGUCACAUGAGAACUCAUGGUUGGGAUAAUGAAAAGUAGUCCUUUGACCUGAGGUAUCAUAGUUGUCUUGUGGUUAGGUCCUUGAUCUUUGAUUAUGUCAAAGUCACCCCAUCCGCGGGUGUCCACGGCAUCGUCGGGGUUAAACCACUUAGCCAUGGAGGCAAGUGAAUGUGCAACAAGGGAUCUCUAACCUUCAAACCGUUUAGGGGAGAAUAGUCUAUGAUAUGAUUAAGAAUCUCUGGCCAGAGUAUGAAUGAGAUUUAGGAAGUCGUUCCAAUUCACAUUCAAG